This 404-nucleotide ribosomal RNA is filed under the name Fusobacteriota bacterium. RNAcentral describes it as "Fusobacteria bacterium partial 16S ribosomal RNA". It matches the Rfam family "Bacterial small subunit ribosomal RNA", at positions 355 to 776 of the family's 1533-position model. Lineage: Bacteria; Fusobacteriati; Fusobacteriota. The record is from RNAcentral.
UGGGGAAUAUUGCACAAUGGAGGGAACUCUGAUGCAGCGACGCCGCGUGAGUGAUGAAGGGAUUCGUUUCGUAAAACUCUGUUCUAUGGGAAGAAAAGGACUGUACCAUAGGAGAAAGCUCCGGCUAAAUACGUGCCAGCAGCCGCGGUAAUACGUAUGGAGCGAGCGUUGUCCGGAAUUAUUGGGCGUAAAGGGUGCGCAGGCGGCUUUACAAGUUGGAUGUGAAAUAUUGUGGCUCAACCACAAACGUGCAUCCAAAACUGCAAAGCUUGAGUUAAGGAGAGGUAAGUGGAAUUCCUGGUGUAGCGGUGGAAUGCGUAGAUAUCAGGAGGAAUACCGGUGGCGAAGGCGACUUACUGGACUUAAACUGACGCUCAGGCACGAAAGCGUGGGGAGCAAACAGG